RNAcentral lists this transfer RNA (65 nucleotides) under Figulus binodulus. RNAcentral describes it as "tRNA-Trp". It matches the Rfam family "tRNA". From Rfam's summary of the family: Transfer RNA (tRNA) molecules are approximately 80 nucleotides in length. Their secondary structure includes four short double-helical elements and three loops (D, anti-codon, and T loops). Further hydrogen bonds mediate the characteristic L-shaped molecular structure. tRNAs have two regions of fundamental functional importance: the anti-codon, which is responsible for specific mRNA codon recognition, and the 3' end, to which the tRNAs corresponding amino acid is attached (by aminoacyl-tRNA synthetases). tRNAs cope with the degeneracy of the genetic code in two manners: having more than one tRNA (with a specific anti-codon) for a particular amino acid; and 'wobble' base-pairing, i.e. permitting non-standard base-pairing at the 3rd anti-codon position. Lineage: Eukaryota; Metazoa; Arthropoda; Insecta; Coleoptera; Lucanidae. The record is from RNAcentral.
AAGGAUUUAGGUUAGUUUAAACCAAUAGCCUUCAAAGCUAUAAACAAAGGAGUCUUUAAGCCUUA